Molecule: ribosomal RNA, 917 nt
Filed under: uncultured euryarchaeote
Lineage: Archaea; Methanobacteriati; Methanobacteriota
Description: bacterial SSU rRNA
Rfam family: Archaeal small subunit ribosomal RNA
Source: RNAcentral
GUAAUACCCGCAGCCCAAGUGGUGAUCGCUAUUAUUGAGCCUAAAGCGUCCGUAGCCGGUCUGAUAAUUCCUUGGGUAAAUCGGGCAGCUCAACUGUCCGAAUCCCGAGGAGACUGUCAGACUAGGACCGGGAGAGGUCAGAGGUACUCCGGGGGUAGGGGUGAAAUCCUGUAAUCCUCGGGGGACCACCAGUGGCGAAGGCGUCUGACCAGAACGGAUCCGACGGUAAGGGACGAAGCCCUGGGGCGCAAACCGGAUUAGAUACCCGGGUAGUCCAGGGUGUAAACGCUGCAGGCUUGGUGUCGGGGGUCCUACGAGGGCACUCGGUGCCGGAGAGAAGUUGUUAAGCCUGCCGCUUGGGGAGUACGCUCGCAAGAGUGAAACUUAAAGGAAUUGGCGGGGGAGCACAGCAACGGGAGGAGCGUGCGGUUCAAUUGGAUUCAACGCCGUAAAACUCACCGGGAGCGACGGUUACAUGAAGGUCAAGCUGAUGACUUUACCUGAUUUUCCGAGAGGUGGUGCAUGGCCGCCGUCAGUUCGUACCGUAAGGCGUUCUGUUAAGUCAGAUAACGAACGAGACCCUCACCCUUAUUUGCUAACAACCCUUCGGGGAAGAAGCACUAUAAGGGGACCGCUGGCGCUAAGUCAGAGGAAGGCGAGGUCAACGGUAGGUCAGUAUGCCCCGAAUCUCCCGGGCUACACGCGCGCUACAAAGGGCAGGACAAUGGGAUUCGACACCGAGAGGUGAAGGCAACCCCGAAACCUGCCCGUAGUUCGAAUUGAGGGCUGUAACUCGCCCUCAUGAAGCUGGAUUCCGUAGUAAUCGCGGAUCAACAUCCCGCGGUGAAUAUGCCCCUGCUCCUUGCACACACCGCCCGUCAAACCAUCUGAGUUGGGUCUGGAUGAGGCUGCCCAUU